Molecule: ribosomal RNA, 261 nt
Filed under: Triticum aestivum (bread wheat)
Lineage: Eukaryota; Viridiplantae; Streptophyta; Magnoliopsida; Poales; Poaceae
Description: partial small subunit ribosomal RNA
Source: RNAcentral
AAUGCUACACUCCGAGAACAAUACCCGGCUUUGUACAAUAUUGCGCAUCACAAGGGUGAUACUAUCGCCACGGUUAUGGAAUCAUUUCCGCCAAAUGUGAUGUUCAGAAGAUAUCUAAUUGGUCCUAGACUUGAAUCAUGGAACACUUUGUUACACAGACUGUCCACGGUACAAUUGUCAUAAGGAACCGAUGAAUUUCGUUGGAACCUACACGUUAGUGGUAAAUUCAUGGUGGACUCUGUGUAUAGAGCUCUAAUCUAG